GAUGAACGCUGGCGGCGUGCUUAACACAUGCAAGUCGAACGGGAAAUAUUUCAUUGAGACUUCGGUGGAUUUGAUUUAUUUCUAGUGGCGGACGGGUGAGUAACGCGUGGGUAACCUGCCUUAUACAGGGGGAUAACAGUCAGAAAUGGCUGCUAAUACCGCAUAAGCGCACAGAGCUGCAUGGCUCAGUGUGAAAAACUCCGGUGGUAUAAGAUGGACCCGCGUUGGAUUAGCUAGUUGGUGGGGUAACGGCCCACCAAGGCGACGAUCCAUAGCCGGCAUGAGAGGGUGAACGGCCACAUUGGGACUGAGACACGGCCCAGACUCCUACGGGAGGCAGCAGUGGGGAAUAUUGCACAAUGGGGGAAACCCUGAUGCAGCGACGCCGCGUGAAGGAAGAAGUAUCUCGGUAUGUAAACUUCUAUCAGCAGGGAAGAUAGUGACGGUACCUGACUAAGAAGCCCCGGCUAACUACGUG
RNAcentral lists this ribosomal RNA (478 nucleotides) under uncultured bacterium. RNAcentral describes it as "partial 16S ribosomal RNA". It matches the Rfam family "Bacterial small subunit ribosomal RNA", at positions 28 to 507 of the family's 1533-position model. The record is from RNAcentral.